Oncorhynchus keta (chum salmon) is the source of this 1090-nucleotide long non-coding RNA. RefSeq lists it as uncharacterized. The record is from RefSeq and is a predicted model, not a curated record. The transcript is spliced from 3 exons. NCBI's taxonomy places the organism in Eukaryota, Metazoa, Chordata, Actinopteri, Salmoniformes, Salmonidae.
GUAAUAGUCACAUGUACAGGGUUACAGGUGUUAUUACAGUGUUUAAUAGUCACAUGUACAGGGUUACAGGUGUUAUUACAGUGUUUAAUAGUCACAUGUACAGGGUUACAGGUGUUAUUACAGUGUUUAAUAGUCACAUGUACAGGGUUACAGGUGUUAUUACAGUGUUUAAUAGUCACAUGUACAGGGUUACAUGUGUUAUUACAGGGUACAGGCUAGCAGGUAUUUAACUGUCUGGGUGUGAGGUAGAGGUGGCUGGGCUAGCAGGUAUUUAACUGUCUGGGUGUGAGGUAGAGGUGGCUGGGCUAGCAGGUAGUGACAGUCUGGGUGUGGGGUAGAGGUGGCUGGGCUAGUAGGUAGUGACAGUCUGGGUGUGGGGUAGAGGUGGCUGGGCUAGCAGGUAGUGACAGUCUGGGUGUGGGGUAGAGGUGGCUGGGCUAGCAGGUAGUGACAGUCUGGGUGACAUGAUCUUCUGCUGUCCUCCCCUUGUCUUCCAGGGAGACCGUCAGUAGCAGACUGCGGUGUUUCAGAAGAUAGACCCUGUCUGGACUAUGUCACAUUUCUGGACGUGGUUUUAUAUUGUCUCUUUGUCCCCCUCAGUUCCAGGAAGCAGACUGCCAGUCUGAGCAGCAAUCUGCAGAGUUUGGAGAAGUCCCAGGGAGAGAUGCAGAGUAGACUGGGCUCACUGCAGAACCAACAGCUCCAGGACGCUAACAAGCUGCAGUCACAGCUAACCCAGGCUGCUAGCAGGACACAGAGCCUGCAGAGAGAGGUACGAUACAGUACACACACAGUUAACCCAGGCUGCUAGCAGGACACAGAGCCUGCAGAGAGAGGUACGAUACAGUACACACACAGUUAACCCAGGCUGCUAGCAGGACACAGAGCCUGCAGAGAGAGGUACGAUACAGUACACACACAGUUAACCCAGGCUGCUAGCAGGACACAGAGCCUGCAGAGAGAGGUACGAUACAGUACACACACAGUUAACCCAGGCUGCUAGCAGGACACAGAGCCUGCAGAGAGAGGUACGAUACAGUACACACACAGUUAACCCAGGCUGCUAGCAGGACACAGAGCCUGCAGAGAG